GAUGAACGCUAGCUACAGGCUUAACACAUGCAAGUCGAGGGACCGGCGCACGGGUGAGUAACACGUAUCCAACCUGCCCUUUACUCGGGGAUAGCCUUUCGAAAGAAAGAUUAAUACCCGAUAUAAAGGACGGGGAUGCGUUCGAUUAGUUUGUUGGUGAGGUAACGGCUCACCAAGCCUUCGAUGGCUAGGGGUUCUGAUAGGAAGGGCCCCCACAUUGGAACUGCGGCACGGACCAAACUCCGACGGGAGGAAGCAGUAAGGAAUAUUGGUCAAUGGGGGCUAGCCUGAACCAGCCAAGUAGCGUGAAGGAUGAAGGCUUAUGGGUCGUAAACUUCUUGUAUAUAAGAAUAUGUAUUAUAUGAAUAAGGAUCGGCUAACUCCGUGCCAGCCGCCGCGGUAAUAC
Molecule: ribosomal RNA, 406 nt
Filed under: uncultured bacterium
Lineage: Bacteria
Description: partial 16S ribosomal RNA
Rfam family: Bacterial small subunit ribosomal RNA
Source: RNAcentral